AUGGCAUAUACUGGCCUCACCGUGCCUCUCAUCGUGAUGAGCGUGUUCUGGGGCUUUGUCGGCUUCCUGAUGCCCUGGUUCAUCCCAAAGGGUCCCAACCGGGGAGUUAGCAUCACCAUGUUGGUGACCUGUUCCGUUUGCUGCUAUCUCUUUUGGCUGAUUGCAAUUCUGGCCCAACUCAACCGUCUCUUUGGACCACAGUUGAAAAAUGAAACCAUCUGGUACCUCAAGCAUCAUUGGCCUUGAGGAAGAAGACCUGCUCGCC
Molecule: non-coding RNA, 265 nt
Organism: Delphinapterus leucas (beluga whale)
Lineage: Eukaryota; Metazoa; Chordata; Mammalia; Artiodactyla; Monodontidae
Source: RefSeq, a predicted model, not a curated record